This 375-nucleotide long non-coding RNA is filed under the name Androctonus crassicauda. Lineage: Eukaryota; Metazoa; Arthropoda; Arachnida; Scorpiones; Buthidae. The record is from RNAcentral.
CUAUAGGAAGCCCCAUGGCAGGAGUACUAGCAGAGUUGGUCGUGCGAUAUAAAGAACAGAACAUCAUACCAUCUUUGAGGAGAGAAUAUAUUAUAUACAGGUGGUAUUUUGAUGAUAUUUUGGUAAUUUCAGAAAACUCAGAACAUCCUUUCCCCCUGGAAGAGAGAAUGACAGAUCAAGCUUUGGGUUUAAAGUUGAUUAAACAGAAAGAAGAUAGAGACCACAUUAGUUUUUUUUUUAUGUAAAAAUUGAUAUUGUAAGAGGUAAGAGGAGGUACCAUUUGAGUGUCUUUAGAAAAGAUAUGUACCUACCACUUUUCAUUGAUGCGAACUCAAAGGAGCCAUGGGCUUAUGAGAUAUCGGCGUUUAGAUCCCU